RNAcentral lists this ribosomal RNA (256 nucleotides) under uncultured bacterium. RNAcentral's name for it is "partial 16S ribosomal RNA". It matches the Rfam family "Bacterial small subunit ribosomal RNA", at positions 523 to 776 of the family's 1533-position model. The record is from RNAcentral.
UAACGUAGGGUGCAAGGCGUUGUCCGGAAUUAUUGGGCGUAAAGAGCUUGUAGGCGGUUUGUCGCGUCUGCUGUGAAAAUCCGGGCUCACCCGGACUUGCAGUGGGUACGGGCAGGACGUAGAGUGUGGUAGGGGAGACUGGAAGUUCCUGGUGUAGCGGUGAAAUGCGCAGAUAUCAGGAGGAACGCCGAUAGCGAAGGCAGCUCGCUGGGGACGUACCGACGCUGGAGGCACGAUAGCGUGGGGAUCAAACAGG